CUAGUACCUUGUAGAUCUUGCUCCUCAUCCUUGGAUCUAGAUCUCUACUUCUAUAUCUUGAAAAAGAGAUCGCUGCGCGAACUCUUUUGCACAGAUCCGAUGGGAUCUGAAUCAGAUCACCAUGAAGAGAAGAAGAACAAUUCUUCUUCUCUUCUUCUCUCUCUUUUCUCAUCUUAGAUCUGAUUUCUAUUAGAUCUGGAUAUUGGGAUGUAAGGAAGAAAAGAGAUGGAGGCAUUAGAAGAGGAAGUUGGUGGUAAGAA
RNAcentral lists this long non-coding RNA (260 nucleotides) under Elaeis guineensis (African oil palm). Its description in RNAcentral is "long non-coding RNA (EGUI_LNC046854)". The record is from RNAcentral. Lineage: Eukaryota; Viridiplantae; Streptophyta; Magnoliopsida; Arecales; Arecaceae.